This 497-nucleotide ribosomal RNA is filed under the name uncultured bacterium. RNAcentral describes it as "partial 16S ribosomal RNA". It matches the Rfam family "Bacterial small subunit ribosomal RNA", at positions 28 to 507 of the family's 1533-position model. The record is from RNAcentral.
GAUGAACGCUGGCGGCGUGCCUAAUACAUGCAAGUCGAGCGAACGGACGAGAAGCUUGCUUCUCUGAUGUUAGCGGCGGACGGGUGAGUAACACGUGGAUAACCUACCUAUAAGACUGGGAUAACUUCGGGAAACCGGAGCUAAUACCGGAUGAUAUUUUGAACCGCAUGGUUCAAAAGUGAAAAACGGUCUUGCUGUCGCUUAUAGAUGGAUCCGCGCUGCAUUAGCUAGUUGGUAAGGUAACGGCUUACCAAGGCAACGAUGCAUAGCCGACCUGAGAGGGUGAUCGGCCACACUGGAACUGAGACACGGUCCAGACUCCUACGGGAGGCAGCAGUAGGGAAUCUUCCGCAAUGGGCGAAAGCCUGACGGAGCAACGCCGCGUGAGUGAUGAAGGUCUUCGGAUCGUAAAACUCUGUUAUUAGGGAAGAACAUAUGUGUAAGUAACUGUGCACAUCUUGACGGUACCUAAUCAGAAAGCCACGGCUAACUACGUG